This 433-nucleotide ribosomal RNA is filed under the name uncultured bacterium. RNAcentral describes it as "partial 16S ribosomal RNA". It matches the Rfam family "Bacterial small subunit ribosomal RNA", at positions 29 to 507 of the family's 1533-position model. The record is from RNAcentral.
AACGAACGCUGGCGGCAUGCCUAACACAUGCAAGUCGAACGAUGCCUUCGGGCAUAGUGGCGCACGGGUGCGUAACGCGUGGGAAUCUGCCUUUCGGUUCGGAAUAACUCAGGGAAACUUGAGCUAAUACCGGAUAACGUCGCAAGACCAAAGAUUUAUCACCGAAAGAUGAGCCCGCGUAGGAUUAGCUAGUUGGUGAGGUAAAGGCUCACCAAGGCGACGAUCCUUAGCUGGUCUCAGAGGAUGAUCAGCCACACUGGGACUGAGACACGGCCCAGACUCCUACGGGAGGCAGCAGUGGGGAAUAUUGGACAAUGGGCGAAAGCCUGAUCCAGCAAUGCCGCGUGAGUGAUGAAGGCCUUAGGGUUGUAAAGCUCUUUUACCCGGGAAGAUAAUGACGGUACCGGGAGAAUAAGCCCCGGCUAACUCCGUG